RNAcentral lists this ribosomal RNA (497 nucleotides) under uncultured bacterium. RNAcentral's name for it is "partial 16S ribosomal RNA". It matches the Rfam family "Bacterial small subunit ribosomal RNA", at positions 28 to 507 of the family's 1533-position model. The record is from RNAcentral.
GAUGAACGCUGGCGGCGUGCCUAAUACAUGCAAGUCGAGCGAACAGACGAGGAGCUUGCUCCUUCGACGUUAGCGGCGGACGGGUGAGUAACACGUAGGUAACCUACCUAUAAGACUGGGAUAACUUCGGGAAACCGGAGCUAAUACCGGAUAAUAUUUCGAACCGCAUGGUUCGAUAGUGAAAGAUGGCUUUGCUAUCACUUAUAGAUGGACCUGCGCCGUAUUAGCUAGUUGGUAAGGUAACGGCUUACCAAGGCAACGAUACGUAGCCGACCUGAGAGGGUGAUCGGCCACACUGGAACUGAGACACGGUCCAGACUCCUACGGGAGGCAGCAGUAGGGAAUCUGACGCAAUGGGCGAAAGCCUGACGGAGCAACGCCGCGUGAGUGAUGAAGGUCUUCGGAUCGUAAAACUCUGUUAUUAGGGAAGAACAAACGUGUAAGUAACUGUGCACGUCUUGACGGUACCUAAUCAGAAAGCCACGGCUAACUACGUG